Molecule: non-coding RNA, 72 nt
Organism: Parelaphostrongylus tenuis
Lineage: Eukaryota; Metazoa; Nematoda; Chromadorea; Rhabditida; Metastrongylidae
Source: the annotation of a GenBank genome assembly
GCGUCGGUAGUGCAACGGUUAGCAUACGCUCCCGGAAAGAGUGAGAUCUGGGUUCGAAUCUGGGCUGACGCA